GUGAAUCAUCGAAUCUUUGAACGCAAAUUGCGCUUACUGGCAUCCCGGGAAGUAUGCCUGUUUGAGGGUCAAUAUUAACAAUACAUCGGUUUGGUUGCAAAUUGUGACGCUUCCGGAGUUUGGGCUAUCUUAACUUUUUUGGGUAAGGGGCUUAAAAUUGACCUUAUUUGCGCUUUUUUAGACGUUCAUAAAUUUUUUUUUUAUUCGUCUAUUCUUAAUGCCAAAAUCUGAUUAGAUGCGAUCUCAUCGUGUGGAUUCGUGUCCA
RNAcentral lists this unclassified non-coding RNA (265 nucleotides) under Glomeraceae sp. RNAcentral's name for it is "partial contains 5.8S ribosomal RNA and internal transcribed spacer 2". The stretch from base 1 to 71 matches the Rfam family "5.8S ribosomal RNA", at positions 84 to 154 of the family's 154-position model. Lineage: Eukaryota; Fungi; Glomeromycota; Glomeromycetes; Glomerales; Glomeraceae. The record is from RNAcentral.